AGCCAAUCAAAAUCAUGGAAAGAUGUCAGAUCUGACAACUUGUCGGAUGAAAAUAUUGGUGAAACGCUCCCCAGGUUUCAGACAAAUUUGACUUGUGUCGAUAUCCUAAUAGGCACUCAUUUAACCAUACGUUGGGUAACCAAAUGAGCAAAUUUGUCUCAAAUUCUGUAUGGGUAGAGGCUUAUCAACAUACUUCCAUAAUGUGAAAUGUUGAAAAGGAAAUUUAAUGACAUCACAUUUGGUUCAAUAUUGGUAAGUGGUACAAUACCUACAAGCAGAAUUGGAGGGUGGUCGAAAACAAUAAUUUCUUCAUAUCCAAGAUACCAACAGUAUAAACCUUCUUUAUUGAAUAUUAUAGAUGAUUUUUAACUUGGUCUUUGCAUUGUUAAUUUGUUCUAAACGGUGAGAGGUUUCACACUUAAUUAUAUUGUUUUAAGCACCAUCACCUAUAGUUGCAGCACAUCUUGGUUUACUGGAAAGUGAGGUAGCCGAACUGCAAAGUCCAAAUUUCAGAACGAUGGACUAAUAAUACGGUUUCAUUUCAAAAGUUUCUUUGAAUUCUAAAAUAUUUCUGCUUUUUCACACCACAAUCAAAUGAGUUAUUACUAUUCCACCUGAAGUUUCUGCUUCCCGAUUCCACAACAGAACUCUGAGAUAAUUGUGAUUGAUGACUUAUUCAUCGCACCUGGUGCACUAAAUUAUUUUGUUCUUACUGUGCAAUUGCUACUUUGAAAAUGGUGCAAGAACAUGGAUAAGAAAUGGCCUUCAUCACAAAACUAAUAAUAAGCCCGAUUAAUACAUCUCCUACCAUAUUGUAACUAAAUGCUAUGCCCAUUACUUGAUCUUAAUCCUCUUAAUCUUCUAAAGGUGCUUAAUACCUCAUAUGGCAGAUGCAAGGUGGCCGCAGGGGGACUAUACAGUGAGUGGGUUGUCACACUCAUUAUGAUCAUCAUAUUUUAUUCAUCAUGCUCAUCACAAUACUUUACAAUAGACAUUUCAUUACAGAAAGUUUCCAAAUGUGUCGCACCAUGCCUCCCAAGCAGAGAACACCAAAGGAGGAGGGGUAAGGAGACGAAGAGCAACACCAGGGCAGCUGCACUGUAAUAUUCACUAUUGCUGUGCUGGUGUUCAACUGAUUGACACAAAUUCAUAACAAGAUAUUAGGCAUGACUAUGAACAAUGGAGAGAGGUCAAAAGCUAGGGUAAUGAACGCAACCACAUUAGAAGUUUGUUUUGUUACCUGGAAUACUGCUGUACACAAAAGUACAUGCUACAUGCAUGUAGCAUUCAUCAAUAUUACAUGUAUGUAACAAAUCCUCGAUUGAAGAAAGUUAUGUGUAUACAACCACGUACAUUUAGCUUGUAGUUUUUUAUAUGGUAUUUAAUGGGAAGUUUCACCUUUCCUUAAAAAAGGCUGAUAAUAUUAACCUUUGACUCAUCUCAUAUCUGAAAUAUGUAAUGGCAAAUACAUCAAGAUAGCUUGCAAAGUUCACCAAGUCACAGAGCUAGAGUAUCUUCAGUAAUUCAAUUUCAAAAAGAUCUUCCCAAACCCCCAGUCACAAUGCACUCAAGUGCACAGAUCUGUUGGCUUCUACCCAAAAUAAACAAAAGCUAAAACAAAUGAUAAUUUUGUUUUAAUUCACUUAAGCAAUAAGCACCCAUUCUUCUUGAUGAUACAACCAAGCUAUUCCAGUCUUUAGGAAAAAUACCUGAAACAACGCUCUACAAAGAUCACACAAAAAUCAAACCAACCAAUAUAAAACAAAGAGUUCUCCAUCUACGUCCACAAGAUAAGUUCUAAUAAACAUGCAAAUUAUCAACCAUAUUCUAUCUCCUGAUUGCCAUCUUUUGUAAUAAAAUCAUGUCAAUUCAAUUGUACAACAUUCUAAAUUCAUAUUUUCUACAAAAAGAGAUUUUACACUGUAGAUGAAGAAAAAGAAAUGUCAACGUCAAUCCUUAAUUAUCUCUGACCUUUUUCAAUAACUCCUCUGUACACGAUACAACUACCAGUAUUUUCUCAACCUCAAAAAUAUAUAUAUUGUGCCCUUGUACCAACCAUUCAUUCUCAACAAAACUUAUAAAUGCUUGUUGAUAAACAUAAUCAAAUCAAACAAAAACACUCAAUGACUAUCAUAUUUCAUUCCAUGACAAACACUUAAGCUGUAAUACAUGUCAUACACACUGCAACCCAAUGGUUUCAUUUUCUGCUUUGGUAAAUAAGUGCACACUCCUCUCCGUUUUCUAAGCCAGUUUCACCAACAAUGCAUUGCAUAAUCAAACUGCUAGGGGUUACAUCUACAUAAUAUAAAGUACAUCCCAGACUGAAAUAUAAAUCUCUCUCCAACAUUGUUUAACAUAACAAAUUGAAUAUUUAUAUUAUUGCAUGUUGUUAUCCUGUUACUAAAAGCAGCCAUCUUAUAAAGCACCCCUGUUCAUUUUUUUUUCAUUUCUGGGAUUUUCAUAUACUUUUUUUUUUAAAUAUUGAAUCCUACAGUUUCAGAAUCAAAAUAUUGUAUGAUUUGAUAUUUCCAAUCAAUACUUUCAACUAUUCACUACUUUUGCAAGACGUACAUUUGUACAAUUGU
This is a long non-coding RNA of Lytechinus variegatus (green sea urchin), 2585 nucleotides long. RefSeq lists it as uncharacterized. Lineage: Eukaryota; Metazoa; Echinodermata; Echinoidea; Temnopleuroida; Toxopneustidae. The transcript has 2 exons. The record is from RefSeq and is a predicted model, not a curated record.